RNAcentral lists this ribosomal RNA (618 nucleotides) under uncultured bacterium. RNAcentral describes it as "bacterial SSU rRNA". The stretch from base 1 to 526 matches the Rfam family "Bacterial small subunit ribosomal RNA", at positions 338 to 873 of the family's 1533-position model. The record is from RNAcentral.
CCUACGGGAGGCAGCAGUGGGGAAUAUUGCACAAUGGGCGAAAGCCUGAUGCAGCGACGCCGCGUGAGGGAUGACGGCCUUCGGGUUGUAAACCUCUUUCAGCAGGGAAGAAGCGAAAGUGACGGUACCUGCAGAAGAAGCGCCGGCUAACUACGUGCCAGCAGCCGCGGUAAUACGUAGGGCGCAAGCGUUGUCCGGAAUUAUUGGGCGUAAAGAGCUCGUAGGCGGCUUGUCACGUCGGGUGUGAAAGCCCGGGGCUUAACCCCGGGUCUGCAUUCGAUACGGGCUAGCUAGAGUGUGGUAGGGGAGAUCGGAAUUCCUGGUGUAGCGGUGAAAUGCGCAGAUAUCAGGAGGAACACCGGUGGCGAAGGCGGAUCUCUGGGCCAUUACUGACGCUGAGGAGCGAAAGCGUGGGGAGCGAACAGGAUUAGAUACCCUGGUAGUCCACGCCGUAAACGGUGGGAACUAGGUGUUGGCGACAUUCCACGUCGUCGGUGCCGCAGCUACGACAUUAACGUUACCCGUCCCGUCGGGAGGUACGGCCGGCGACGGACGUAAACCUACAAAGGAAGUUAGACGGCGUGAGACGUGCCGAACGGACGACGACGAGGGAGUAGG